RNAcentral lists this ribosomal RNA (117 nucleotides) under Candidatus Dormiibacterota bacterium. Lineage: Bacteria; Bacillati; Candidatus Dormiibacterota. The record is from RNAcentral.
CUCGGUGACAAUGGCGGAGGGGAAACACCCGUUUCCAUACCGAACACGGCAGUUAAGCCCUCCAGCGCCGAUGGUACUGCCGGGGGAACCCGGUGGGAGAGUAGGUCGUUGCCGAGU